AUCCAGCUGAUGAGUCCCAAACAGGAGAAAACGCCCGUCCUGGAU
Molecule: non-coding RNA, 45 nt
Organism: Schistosoma mansoni
Lineage: Eukaryota; Metazoa; Platyhelminthes; Trematoda; Strigeidida; Schistosomatidae
Source: Rfam